AUCCACUGCGCUAUGCGGUCUUUC
This 24-nucleotide small RNA is filed under the name Arabidopsis thaliana (thale cress). RNAcentral describes it as "ATSL135050". Lineage: Eukaryota; Viridiplantae; Streptophyta; Magnoliopsida; Brassicales; Brassicaceae. The record is from RNAcentral.